UGGGGGGAACCCUGACGCAGCAACGCCGCGUGGGUGAUGAAGGUCUUCGGAUUGUAAAGCCCUGUUUUCUGGGACGAUAAUGACGGUACUAGAGGAGGAAGCCACGGCUAACUACGUGCCAGCAGCCGCGGUAAUACGUAGGUGGCGAGCGUUGUCCGGAUUUACUGGGCGUAAAGGGUGCGUAGGCGGAUGUUUAAGUGGGAUGUGAAAUCCCCGGGCUUAACCUGGGGGCUGCAUUCCAAACUGGAUAUCUAGAGUGCAGGAGAGGAAAGCGGAAUUCCUAGUGUAGCGGUGAAAUGCGUAGAGAUUAGGAAGAACACCAGUGGCGAAGGCGGCUUUCUGGACUGUAACUGACGCUGAGGCACGAAAGCGUGGGUAGCAAACAGGAUUAGAUACCCUGGUAGUCCACGCCGUAAACGAUGGAUACUAGGUGUAGGGGGUAUCAACUCCCCCUGUGCCGCAGUUAACACAAUAAGUAUCCCGCCUGGGGAGUACGGUCGCAAGAUUAAAACUCAAAGGAAUUGACGGGGGCCCGCACAAGCAGCGGAGCAUGUGGUUUAAUUCGAAGCAACGCGAAGAACCUUACCUGGACUUGACAUCCCUUGCAUAGCCUAGAGAUAGGUGAAGCCCUUCGGGGCAAGGAGACAGGUGGUGCAUG
Molecule: ribosomal RNA, 658 nt
Filed under: Clostridium botulinum
Lineage: Bacteria; Bacillati; Bacillota; Clostridia; Eubacteriales; Clostridiaceae
Description: bacterial SSU rRNA
Rfam family: Bacterial small subunit ribosomal RNA
Source: RNAcentral